This 247-nucleotide ribosomal RNA is filed under the name uncultured bacterium. RNAcentral describes it as "partial 16S ribosomal RNA". It matches the Rfam family "Bacterial small subunit ribosomal RNA", at positions 523 to 769 of the family's 1533-position model. The record is from RNAcentral.
AUACGUAGGUGGCAAGCGUUGUCCGGAAUUACUGGGCGUAAAGGAUGCGUAGGCGGAUAUGUAAGUCAGAUGUGAAAUACCCGGGCUCAACUUGGGUGCUGCAUUUGAAACUGCAUGUCUAGAGUGCGGGAGAGGAAAGUGGAAUUCCUAGUGUAGCGGUGAAAUGCGUAGAGAUUAGGAAGAACACCUGUGGCGAAGGCGACUUUCUGGACCGUAACUGACGCUGAGGCAUGAAAGCAUGGGUAGC